AUGGCAGCAGCGCGGGCGAAGCUCCUGGUGGUGGCGUCCAUGGCGUUGGCGCCGAGCUCCUGGAGAGAAAAGGGAGGCAGAGAUCUUGAGAGGAGAAGGAAGGAGCUAGAGGAAGGAAGGGAAGGGACGCUGUUGUUCUCAUCUGUGGCGGGGAACGGUGGCCUCCGACGACACAAUGGUCAAGCGAGGAUGGCGAGGUUCGGGAUUGAGCUUGUAAUUGAGCUCGAGGGGUCGAGGUGGCGCGUGGGAGAAACGGGAGAGGAGGAGCUCAUCUCCCUGGUCAACGAGGAGAGCGAGGAGGGUUGGAUCGAUGGCUUGGGUGGCGGCUCUCAAUGA
Molecule: ribosomal RNA, 336 nt
Filed under: Triticum aestivum (bread wheat)
Lineage: Eukaryota; Viridiplantae; Streptophyta; Magnoliopsida; Poales; Poaceae
Description: partial small subunit ribosomal RNA
Source: RNAcentral